GACUAAGCGUACACGGUGGAUGCCCUGGCAGUCAGAGGCGAUGAAGGACGUGCUAAUCUGCGAUAAGCGUCGGUAAGGUGAUAUGAACCGUUAUAACCGGCGAUUUCCGAAUGGGGAAACCCAGUGUGAUUCGUCACACUAUCAUUAACUGAAUCCAUAGGUUAAUGAGGCGAACCGGGGGAACUGAAACAUCUAAGUACCCCGAGGAAAAGAAAUCAACCGAGAUUCCCCCAGUAGCGGCGAGCGAACGGGGAGGAGCCCAGAGCCUGAAUCAGUGUGUGUGUUAGUGGAAGCGUCUGGAAAGGCGCGCGAUACAGGGUGACAGCCCCGUACACAAAAAUGCACAUGCUGUGAGCUCGAUGAGUAGGGCGGGACACGUGGUAUCCUGUCUGAAUAUGGGGGGACCAUCCUCCAAGGCUAAAUACUCCUGACUGACCGAUAGUGAACCAGUACCGUGAGGGAAAGGCGAAAAGAACCCCGGCGAGGGGAGUGAAAAAGAACCUGAAACCGUGUACGUACAAGCAGUGGGAGCACAGAGCAAUCUGUGUGACUGCGUACCUUUUGUAUAAUGGGUCAGCGACUUAUAUUCUGUAGCAAGGUUAACCGAAUAGGGGAGCCGAAGGGAAACCGAGUCUUAACUGGGCGUUAAGUUGCAGGGUAUAGACCCGAAACCCGGUGAUCUAGCCAUGGGCAGGUUGAAGGUUGGGUAACACUAACUGGAGGACCGAACCGACUAAUGUUGAAAAAUUAGCGGAUGACUUGUGGCUGGGGGUGAAAGGCCAAUCAAACCGGGAGAUAGCUGGUUCUCCCCGAAAGCUAUUUAGGUAGCGCCUCGUGAAUUCAUCUCCGGGGGUAGAGCACUGUUUCGGCAAGGGGGUCAUCCCGACUUACCAACCCGAUGCAAACUGCGAAUACCGGAGAAUGUUAUCACGGGAGACACACGGCGGGUGCUAACGUCCGUCGUGAAGAGGGAAACAACCCAGACCGCCAGCUAAGGUCCCAAAGUCAUGGUUAAGUGGGAAACGAUGUGGGAAGGCCCAGACAGCCAGGAUGUUGGCUUAGAAGCAGCCAUCAUUUAAAGAAAGCGUAAUAGCUCACUGGUCGAGUCGGCCUGCGCGGAAGAUGUAACGGGGCUAAACCAUGCACCGAAGCUGCGGCAGCGACACUAUGUGUUGUUGGGUAGGGGAGCGUUCUGUAAGCCUGUGAAGGUGUGCUGUGAGGCAUGCUGGAGGUAUCAGAAGUGCGAAUGCUGACAUAAGUAACGAUAAAGCGGGUGAAAAGCCCGCUCGCCGGAAGACCAAGGGUUCCUGUCCAACGUUAAUCGGGGCAGGGUGAGUCGACCCCUAAGGCGAGGCCGAAAGGCGUAGUCGAUGGGAAACAGGUUAAUAUUCCUGUACUUGGUGUUACUGCGAAGGGGGGACGGAGAAGGCUAUGUUGGCCGGGCGACGGUUGUCCCGGUUUAAGCGUGUAGGCUGGUUUUCCAGGCAAAUCCGGAAAAUCAAGGCUGAGGCGUGAUGACGAGGCACUACGGUGCUGAAGCAACAAAUGCCCUGCUUCCAGGAAAAGCCUCUAAGCAUCAGGUAACAUCAAAUCGUACCCCAAACCGACACAGGUGGUCAGGUAGAGAAUACCAAGGCGCUUGAGAGAACUCGGGUGAAGGAACUAGGCAAAAUGGUGCCGUAACUUCGGGAGAAGGCACGCUGAUAUGUAGGUGAAGCGACUUGCUCGUGGAGCUGAAAUCAGUCGAAGAUACCAGCUGGCUGCAACUGUUUAUUAAAAACACAGCACUGUGCAAACACGAAAGUGGACGUAUACGGUGUGACGCCUGCCCGGUGCCGGAAGGUUAAUUGAUGGGGUUAGCGCAAGCGAAGCUCUUGAUCGAAGCCCCGGUAAACGGCGGCCGUAACUAUAACGGUCCUAAGGUAGCGAAAUUCCUUGUCGGGUAAGUUCCGACCUGCACGAAUGGCGUAAUGAUGGCCAGGCUGUCUCCACCCGAGACUCAGUGAAAUUGAACUCGCUGUGAAGAUGCAGUGUACCCGCGGCAAGACGGAAAGACCCCGUGAACCUUUACUAUAGCUUGACACUGAACAUUGAGCCUUGAUGUGUAGGAUAGGUGGGAGGCUUGGAAGUGUGGACGCCAGUCUGCAUGGAGCCGACCUUGAAAUACCACCCUUUAAUGUUUGAUGUUCUAACGUUGACCCGUAAUCCGGGUUGCGGACAGUGUCUGGUGGGUAGUUUGACUGGGGCGGUCUCCUCCUAAAGAGUAACGGAGGAGCACGAAGGUUGGCUAAUCCUGGUCGGACAUCAGGAGGUUAGUGCAAUGGCAUAAGCCAGCUUGACUGCGAGCGUGACGGCGCGAGCAGGUGCGAAAGCAGGUCAUAGUGAUCCGGUGGUUCUGAAUGGAAGGGCCAUCGCUCAACGGAUAAAAGGUACUCCGGGGAUAACAGGCUGAUACCGCCCAAGAGUUCAUAUCGACGGCGGUGUUUGGCACCUCGAUGUCGGCUCAUCACAUCCUGGGGCUGAAGUAGGUCCCAAGGGUAUGGCUGUUCGCCAUUUAAAGUGGUACGCGAGCUGGGUUUAGAACGUCGUGAGACAGUUCGGUCCCUAUCUGCCGUGGGCGCUGGAGAACUGAGGGGGGCUGCUCCUAGUACGAGAGGACCGGAGUGGACGCAUCACUGGUGUUCGGGUUGUCAUGCCAAUGGCACUGCCCGGUAGCUAAAUGCGGAAGAGAUAAGUGCUGAAAGCAUCUAAGCACGAAACUUGCCCCGAGAUGAGUUCUCCCUGACUCCUUGAGAGUCCUGAAGGAACGUUGAAGACGACGACGUUGAUAGGCCGGGUGUGUAAGCGCAGCGAUGCGUUGAGCUAACCGGUACUAAUGAACCGUGAGGCUUAACCUUACAACGCCGAAGGUGUUU
Molecule: ribosomal RNA, 2915 nt
Filed under: Escherichia coli
Lineage: Bacteria; Pseudomonadati; Pseudomonadota; Gammaproteobacteria; Enterobacterales; Enterobacteriaceae
Description: bacterial LSU rRNA
Rfam family: Bacterial large subunit ribosomal RNA
Source: RNAcentral